RNAcentral lists this transfer RNA (73 nucleotides) under bacterium BRH_c32. Its description in RNAcentral is "tRNA-Gln". It matches the Rfam family "tRNA". From Rfam's summary of the family: Transfer RNA (tRNA) molecules are approximately 80 nucleotides in length. Their secondary structure includes four short double-helical elements and three loops (D, anti-codon, and T loops). Further hydrogen bonds mediate the characteristic L-shaped molecular structure. tRNAs have two regions of fundamental functional importance: the anti-codon, which is responsible for specific mRNA codon recognition, and the 3' end, to which the tRNAs corresponding amino acid is attached (by aminoacyl-tRNA synthetases). tRNAs cope with the degeneracy of the genetic code in two manners: having more than one tRNA (with a specific anti-codon) for a particular amino acid; and 'wobble' base-pairing, i.e. permitting non-standard base-pairing at the 3rd anti-codon position. RNAcentral also lists the same sequence under 1 other name. The record is from RNAcentral.
UGCCCUGUAGUGUAAUUGGCAACACGCCUGACUCUGGAUCAGGAGACUUCAGGUUCGACCCCUGACAGGGCAG